RNAcentral lists this ribosomal RNA (305 nucleotides) under uncultured bacterium. RNAcentral describes it as "bacterial SSU rRNA". It matches the Rfam family "Bacterial small subunit ribosomal RNA", at positions 335 to 657 of the family's 1533-position model. The record is from RNAcentral.
UGCCUACGGGGCGCAGCAGUGGGGAAUAUUGGGCAAUGGACGCAAGUCUGACCCAGCAACGCCGCGUGAAGGAAGAAGGCCUUCGGGUCGUAAACUUCUGUCCUUGGGGAAGAAGAACUGACGGUACCCAAGGAGGAAGCCCCGGCUAACUACGUGCCAGCAGCCGCGGUAAUACGUAGGGGGCAAGCGUUAUCCGGAAUUAUUGGGCGUAAAGAGUACGUAGGUGGCAACCUAAGCGCAGGGUUUAAGGCAAUGGCUCAACCAUUGUUCGCCCUGCGAACUGGGAUGCUUGAGUGCAGGAGAGG